UCUCUCUCUCUAUAUAUAUAUAAAUUCGUGGGUUGCCUUUGUAUUUUCGUAUUAUUUGUUGUAUGCCCCUUUUGCAUAUCCUAAUUCAAAGCCAUAUCAGUUUAGCGAUGUUGCCCUUGGCUGACUUCAAUUAGACCCGGGUCUUUGGAUGGAGUGCGGAAAGGAUACGCAAUGGAAGGGUAAGAGGGUAAGGAGAAGAGGGUAAGAGGGUUGCAAUAAAAAAAUUUUCAUGCAUGGAAAGUGUGAAUUAAUGGAAAUGUAAAGAGGGAAAUGUAUAUUAUUUAUGUUUAGGAAGAAGCGAAGGAAGUGUAAAUUUAAGGGGGUAUAAAAUAAAAAUGGUCAACGUUUACCUUCUCACACUCAAUUUAGGGUUUAAGAAAAAUUGAGAUUUGAGCGAUAAGAGAGGGCUGCUUUCCCUUCCCCUCAGUUAAAGAAUAAGUUGUGGUUGGUGACAGAAAGAUAAUGAGAUUGUUUAAUUAUGGCUUUUCUUGAGUUUAAAGAAUUAACAACUUUUCCAAGCAUUGAAGAAGAUUGGCUAUUCAUUCUGAUUUUAAGAAAGUAUUCAUAACUAAUACCCAUGCUGCAAGUGUAAAAUAAAUUAUUUUUCUUAAGUUUACUUUAUGUUUGAGCACAUCUUUUGCUCUCCUGGAAGAUCAAUUCACCACAAAAAUGCUAUUAGGAAUGUGGGAGGUAAAUGCUUAUAGUUUCUCAAUCAGUGUUGUCCCAAAUGGUGUUCUUUUGGAAUCACCAGCUCAAGUACAAUGAUGGAAAUUAAACUGUUGGACCAGUUUGAAUAUAUUUCCAUGCUACAAAUACAAUGUUAUGCUUAAAUAUAAAGUAUUAAAUACUCAAAGUCAAACAUCUAUGCUCUCUACUUUAUGCUCACCUACGGUAUGAUGCAGCACCUUCUCACUGUUUCGCAAAUAAUAAUGCAUUGAAGUGGAAAGUGUGAGGUUUGUGCAAGAUGGAGUUUCUUGUAAUAUAGUUACACUGGAGCUUUGAUUGCCUAGAUUCCUCCAACAAAUUUUUAUUUUACAUUUAUGAACCAUCUGGCUGCUAUAUACUUUAUUGUUCUUAGACCAUAUAAUGUUUCAUAUUCUGCAAAUGCAAAUUAUUUUGCAGUGCCAACGACAUUAGAAUAUAGAAGAAAAAAAGUUUUAAUAUGUUUUCAAUAAAAAUUGUCUUAUUAUUUAUUUAAGCAACAAAUUUUUUUAUGGAUUACAUUUGAUUUUUUCCUUGGAAGUUUAACAAAGAUAUUGAAAAUGCUUGUUUUUAUGAAACUUGAAAGUGUUACUGUUAUUGCAUUUGUUUUAAUCAUGAUAGGUGCGUGACUUGAGAAAAUUGAUUGCUGAAAACAAUCAUCUACCAAUUGAGAAUUUGAGGCUUAUCUUGCGUGGGAAUGUUUUGCAUGAUAACAGAAAUGAGGACGAAGUACACCUGCAACUCAGUAAUGGUGACUCGCUGAUUGUUGCUGUCAAACCAAAGCCACCAGCUAAACAUCUUCGGGAUGGUUUUGAUUUUGAUGAUGAUGACCUGGUACAACUGAAAUUUAAUUAUGCUUUUGAACUUAUUUUAGAUGUGUUUUAGAUAAUACAAAUUUUUUCUCAAGAAAUUGUUUUUCUUAAUUUCCGAGUCUCUAGAAAUUUCAGUUGCCACAGUCAACAAGUCGGUGGAAGAGGAGGCUUUACUAUUUUCUUCAUGAUAAGUUGAAACUUCCAGGUAAUCUAGUAGAGAUAUUGUUACAUUUGAAUAUAACAGUCUGCUGAUCAAUUAUUCUUUUCUAUUCCAAUGGUAGAUAUCCUCUUGAUGGCGCUUUUCUCUCUCAGUCUAAAAGCAUGGGCUGUGAUUAUUUUGUGGUUCAUUUUGGCACCUGUUGCACACAGAUGGGAUCUUGGACCAGUAUAUAUACUUGGCACAGGAUUUGCCAUUAUUUUCUUUAAUCUUGGACGACGGCAAGCUGGUGAUCUCAGUGCAUAUUCUAUCUUCAAUGAUGACUUCAGGGAGCUUCCUGGGACCCUUAAUGCAGAUCGUAUAGAUAGAGACAUUCGGGCCGGUCAAUUGUGAACUUUUCGCUCAUCAUUCAUUAUUGAAGUGUUUCAGUAUAUAUCCACAGUCUGCAAGAGGUGAUCUCAGUCAUAUACAGUAAGAUGAAAAUGUUUUUGCUUGCCCUGUACAGUAUCUUUAGUUUGUCAUACCCUUUAAAUUGUAACAAUUGAAUUCCUGAUUUUCCAAAGUUAAACCUCCAUUGCACUCGCUCUUAUUAGAAUUUAGAUUUUGGCUUGCUUCAAUAGAACUUUGAUAUCAUAGCAUGUUCUGUAAUUAUGGAAUUAAUUUGUCUGAUAGUUUUGAUGAUCUUUGCCUGAUGUAAACUUGGUAGAUGACAACUUUUAAUCUUAGGUUGAGGAUUUUCCAUGAUUUUUGUGGUCAAAAAGUGUUGUUCAGAUCUCUCUAUAUAUUUGAUUAAAAU
This 2467-nucleotide unclassified non-coding RNA is filed under the name Hevea brasiliensis (rubber tree). The record is from RNAcentral. Lineage: Eukaryota; Viridiplantae; Streptophyta; Magnoliopsida; Malpighiales; Euphorbiaceae.